Molecule: ribosomal RNA, 893 nt
Filed under: uncultured bacterium
Lineage: Bacteria
Description: partial 16S ribosomal RNA
Rfam family: Bacterial small subunit ribosomal RNA
Source: RNAcentral
UGUCAGAAAUCUGGCCACCGUUUUUUGAUAAAUAGGCAGAAAAGUCGAUUUAGGUGUAUGUCCGUAGUUCCCAAUACCUUGUUGUGAGGGUACAAUCCCACCAAUGGGAGGAGGGCCAUCCCAGCUGGGAGGGGGCACGCCACACUAGGACACGAGGACACGGUCCUUCUGCUUCCGGGAGGGAGGCAAGUAGGGAUUAUUUUGCAAUAGGGGUAACCCCUGACACACCCACCGCGCCUGAGAGGGAAGAAGACCUUCUGGGUUUGUUAAACUUCAAUAGUAAGAGAAAGAAGGAAAAGGACGGGUACCAUAAGGAAAAGCCCCCGGCUUAAUUUCGUGCCCCCACGCCCCGAUAAUAAGGGAGAGGACGAAGUGUGUCUCGAAUUACAGGGGAUGAGAGGACGUGGGCGGGUAUAUAAGUCUUAAAUGAAAAACCUUCGCUCAACCGAGGGUAUGUAUAUGAAAAUAAACAGCUUCAGUCAAGGAGAGGAGAGAGGAAUUCUUGGUGUAGCGAUGAAAUGCGUAGAGAUCAGGAAGAAUACCAGGGAGAAAGCGGCUCUCUGGACUUGAACUGACCGUGAGGUGAGGAAAGGUUGGGAGGCAAAAAGAAUUAAAUCCCUGGUACUUCCCCCCGUAAAAGGAUGAUACUUGGGGUUGGGGAAUAAUCAUUCGUGCCGGAGUUAACGCAAUAAGAAUUCCGCCUGGGGGGUAGGCCGCAAGGUUGAAAAUCAAAGGAAUUGACGGGGGCCCCCCCAAGCAGCGGAGCAUGUGUUUAUUUAAAGCAACGAGAAGAACCUUCCCAGGGCAGACCCCCACAGAAUCGGGUAAAAAUACCUGAGUCUCUCUAAAAAAAAGCGGGAGACAGGUGUGCAUGUUGUCGUCAGCUCUUUCCA